AUGGCACACUUGAUGCAAGAAAUAUUUGGAUACACAGAUGAGUUGAGUAGAGCUUUGCAAAAGCAAGACCAAGAUAUUGUUCAUGCUAUUGAGCUUGUUGAUAUCACAAAGUAUCACUUGGAGGGUUUGAGGACAGAUCCUGGAUGGGAUGAUUUUCUCAAAAAGGUCACAUCUUUUUGUACAAAGCAUAAGAUCAAAAUUGUUGAUAUGGAGGGUCCUUACUUUCCCGCUGGCCGGCCUAGAAGGGGUUUCUUUAAUGGUGCAAUGAAUUACCAUCGCUUCAAAGUUGAUAUGUAUGUGAGUGUCAUUGAUAGGCAAAUUAGUGAGUUGAAUGGCAGAUUUGAUGAGGUAAACACAUAUCUACUUUCUUGCAUGACAACAUUUUGUCCACUUUGUCUAUUUGCUGCUUAUGAUCAAGAGAAAUUGGUUAGGCUUGCUACAAAUUUUUAUGCUAAUGAUUUCACAAGUGAUGAACUGGCAAGACUUCCAUAG
RNAcentral lists this ribosomal RNA (492 nucleotides) under Triticum aestivum (bread wheat). RNAcentral describes it as "partial small subunit ribosomal RNA". The record is from RNAcentral. Lineage: Eukaryota; Viridiplantae; Streptophyta; Magnoliopsida; Poales; Poaceae.